AUUAGAUUUCUUCGGAAUGAAAAUAAGUGGAUUAGUGGCGAACGGGUGAGUAACACGUGAGUAACCUGCCUUACACAAGGGGAUAGCCUUUGGAAACGAAGAAUAAUACCCUAUGACGUCAAUUUAUCGCAUGAUGAAAUGACCAAAGAUUUAUCGGUGUAAGAUGGACUUGCGUCUGAUUAGCUAGUUGGUGAGAUAAAAGCCCACCAAGGCGACGAUCAGUAGCCGGCUUGAGAGAGUGUACGGCCACAUUGGGACUGAGACACGGCCCAAACUCCUACGGGAGGCAGCAGUGGGGAAUUUUGCACAAUGGGGGAAACCCUGAUGCAGCGACGCCGCGUGAUUUAGAAGGCCUUCGGGUUGUAAAAAUCUUUUUUAUGGGAUGAAAAUGACAGUACCAUAAGAAUAAGGUCCGGCUAAAUACGUGCCAGCAGCCGCGGUAAUACGUAUGGACCGAGCGUUGUCCGGAAUCAUUGGGCGUAAAGGGUACGUAGGCGGCCUAGUAAGUUAGAAGUGAAAUAAUAUAGCUCAACUAUAUAAAGCUUUUAAAACUGUUAGGCUUGAGAGAUGAAAGGGAAAGUGGAAUUCCUAGUGUAGCGGUGAAAUGCGCAGAUAUUAGGAAGAAUACCGGUGGCGAAGGCGACUUUCUGGUCAUCAUCUGACGCUGAGGUACGAAAGCGUGGGUAGCAAACAGGAUUAGAUACCCUGGUAGUCCACGCUGUAAACGAUGAGUGUUAGGUUCUUGGAAUAAUCUG
Molecule: ribosomal RNA, 755 nt
Filed under: uncultured Anaerococcus sp.
Lineage: Bacteria; Bacillati; Bacillota; Tissierellia; Tissierellales; Peptoniphilaceae
Description: SSU rRNA
Rfam family: Bacterial small subunit ribosomal RNA
Source: RNAcentral